AGUGAACGCUGGCGGCGUGCCUAAUACAUGCAAGUCGAACGGAAUUUAAAAGAGCUUGCUCUUUUAAAUUUAGUGGCGCACGGGUGAGUAAUAUAUAGCUAAUCUGCCCCUUGCUGGAGGACAACAGUUAGAAAUGACUGCUAAUACUCCAUACUCCUUUUUACCAUAAGAUAAAUCGGGAAAGAAUUUCGGCAAGGGAUGAGACUAUAUCGUAUCAGCUAGUCGGUGGGGUAACGGCCUACCGAGGCUAUGACGCGUAACUGGUCUGAGAGGAUGAUCAGUCACAUUGGAACUGAGACACGGUCCAAACUCCUACGGGAGGCAGCAGUAGAGAAUAUUGCGCAAUGGGGGAAACCCUGACGCAGCAACGCCGCGUGGAGGAUGACACUUUUCGGAGCGUAAACUCCUUUUGUUAGGGAAGAAUAAUGACGGACCUAACGAAUAAGCACCGCA
This 453-nucleotide ribosomal RNA is filed under the name Campylobacter gracilis. RNAcentral's name for it is "bacterial SSU rRNA". It matches the Rfam family "Bacterial small subunit ribosomal RNA", at positions 29 to 497 of the family's 1533-position model. The record is from RNAcentral. Lineage: Bacteria; Pseudomonadati; Campylobacterota; Epsilonproteobacteria; Campylobacterales; Campylobacteraceae.